This 192-nucleotide non-coding RNA is filed under the name pig gut metagenome. The record is from RNAcentral.
AGUACCUUUGCACCGCAUUCAGUUAAGGGAAGCAGGUGCAAUUCCUGCACAGUCCCGCUGCUGUGAUUCGCAAUCCGAUAUUCAAAUUCUUAUAAGUCACUGGCUGACUGUCAAUUGUCAACUAUCAACUGUCAACUGACAAAGCUGGGAAGGCGGAAUAAAGGAGCGAUAAGUCAGAAGACCUGCUGCGUG